CCUACGGGAGGCAGCAGUGGGGAAUAUUGGACAAUGGGGGGAACCCUGAUCCAGCGACGCCGCGUGAGUGAAGAAGUAUUUCGGUAUGUAAAGCUCUAUCAGCAGGGAAGAAAGAAAUGACGGUACCUGACUAAGAAGCCCCGGCUAACUACGUGACAGCAGCCGCGGUAAUACGUAGGGGGCAAGCGUUAUCCGGAUUUACUGGGUGUAAAGGGAGCGUAGACGGCGAUGCAAGUCUGAAGUGAAAGGCGGGGGCCCAACCCCCGGACUGCUUUUGAAACUGUAUGGCUGGAGGGCAGGAGAGGUAAGUGGAAUUCCUAGUGUAGCGGUGGAAUGCGUAGAUAUUAGGAGGAACACCAGUGGCGAAGGCGGCUUACUGGAAUGUAACUGACGUUGAGGCUCGAAAGCGUGGGGAGCAAACAGGAUUAGAUACCCCUGUAGUC
Molecule: ribosomal RNA, 443 nt
Filed under: uncultured bacterium
Lineage: Bacteria
Description: partial 16S ribosomal RNA
Rfam family: Bacterial small subunit ribosomal RNA
Source: RNAcentral